RNAcentral lists this non-coding RNA (45 nucleotides) under Schistosoma mansoni. The record is from RNAcentral. Lineage: Eukaryota; Metazoa; Platyhelminthes; Trematoda; Strigeidida; Schistosomatidae.
AUCCAGGUGACGAGUCCCAAACAGGACAAAACGCGUGUCCUGGAU